GAUGAACGCUGGCGGCGUGCCUAACACAUGCAAGUCGAACGGAAUUUACAUGAAGCCUAGCGAUUGUAAAUUUAGUGGCGGACGGGUGAGUAACGCGUGGGUAACCUGCCUUGUACUGGGGGACAACAGUUGGAAACGACUGCUAAUACCGCAUAAGCGCACAGCUUCGCAUGAAGCAGUGUGAAAAACUCUGGUGGUACAAGAUGGACCCGCGUCUGAUUAGCUGGUUGGUGAGGUAACGGCCCACCAAGGCGACGAUCAGUAGCCGGCCUGAGAGGGUGAACGGCCACAUUGGGACUGAGACACGGCCCAAACUCCUACGGGAGGCAGCAGUGGGGAAUAUUGGCACAAUGGGGGAAACCCUGAUGCAGCAACGCCGCGUGAGUGAAGAAGUAUUCGGUAUGUAAAGCUCUAUCAGCAGGAAGAAAUGACGGUACUCAACAAGGAAGUGACGGCUAACUACGUGCCAGCAGCCGCGGU
Molecule: ribosomal RNA, 480 nt
Filed under: uncultured bacterium
Lineage: Bacteria
Description: bacterial SSU rRNA
Rfam family: Bacterial small subunit ribosomal RNA
Source: RNAcentral